CAACAGCUCAAAUUUGAAAUCUGGCUCUUUUAGGGUCCGAGUUGUAAUUUGCAGAGAGCGCUUUGGCGUUGGCAGCGGUCCAAGUUCUUUGGAACAGGACGUCACAGAGGGUGAGAAUCCCGUACGUGGUCGCUAGCCUUCGCCGUGUAAAGCCUCUUCGACGAGUCGAGUUGUUUGGGAAUGCAGCUCUAAAUGGGAGGUAAAUUUCUUCUAAAGCUAAAUACUGGCCAGAGACCGAUAGCGCACAAGUAGAGUGAUCGAAAGAUGAAAAGCACUUUGGAAAGAGAGUCAAAUAGCACGUGAAAUUGUUGAAAGGGAAGCGCUUGCAGCCAGACUUGCCUGUAGUUGCUUAUCCGGACUUUUGUCCGGUGCACUCUUCUGCGGGCAGGCCAGCAUCAGUUUAGGCGGUUGGAUAAAGGUCUCUAUCACGUACCUCCCUUCGGGGUUGGCCUUAUAGGGGAGACGACAUGCAGCCAGCCUGAACUGAGGUCCGCGCAUCUGCUAGGAUGCUGGCGUAAUGGCUGUAAGCGGCCCGUCUUGAAACACGGACCAAGGAGUCUAACAUCUAUGCGAGUGUUUGGGUGUCAAGCCCAGACGCGUAAUGAAAGUGAACGGAGGUGGGAACCUUUUAGGUGCACCAUCGACCGAUCCUGAUGUCUUCGGAUGGAUUUGAGUAAGAGCAUGGCUGUUGGGACCCGAAAGAUGGUGAACUAUGCUUGAAUAGGGUGAAGCCAGAGGAAACUCUGGUGGAGGCUCGCAGCGGUUCUGACGUGCAAAUCGAUCGUCAAAUUUGGGCAUAGGGGCGAAAGAC
This 811-nucleotide ribosomal RNA is filed under the name Poaceicola bromi. RNAcentral's name for it is "eukaryotic LSU rRNA". It matches the Rfam family "Eukaryotic large subunit ribosomal RNA", at positions 102 to 931 of the family's 3401-position model. The record is from RNAcentral. Lineage: Eukaryota; Fungi; Ascomycota; Dothideomycetes; Pleosporales; Phaeosphaeriaceae.